RNAcentral lists this ribosomal RNA (460 nucleotides) under uncultured bacterium. RNAcentral's name for it is "partial 16S ribosomal RNA". It matches the Rfam family "Bacterial small subunit ribosomal RNA", at positions 338 to 795 of the family's 1533-position model. The record is from RNAcentral.
CCUAGGGGUGGACAGCGGUGAGGAAUAUUGGUCAGUGGCCGGAAGGCUGCACCAGCCAAGCCGCGUGAAGGACGAAGGUGCCAAGCAGUGUAAACUUCUUUUGUCAAGGGACAAAAUCAGGCUCGAGAGCCUGACCGAGGGUACUUGAAGAGAAAGCGUCGGCUAACUCCGUGCCAGCAGCCGCGGUCAUACGGAGGAUGCGAGCGUUAUCCGGAUUUCUUGGGGUAAAAGGGUUCGUAGGCGGGCUGUUAAGUCAGCGGUAAAAACCCGGGGCUCAAACCCGGCGAGCCGUUGAAACUGGCUGUCUUGAGAUGUCGAGAGGUAUGCGGAAUGCGCAGUGUAGCGGUGAAAUGCUUAGAUAUUGCGCAGAACUCCGAUUGCGAAGGCAGCAUACCGGCGGCGAUCUGACGCUGAGGCACGAAAGCGUGGGUAUCGAACAGGAUUAGAUACCCUUGUAGUC